RNAcentral lists this ribosomal RNA (902 nucleotides) under Colletotrichum acutatum. Its description in RNAcentral is "LSU rRNA". It matches the Rfam family "Eukaryotic large subunit ribosomal RNA", at positions 34 to 967 of the family's 3401-position model. The record is from RNAcentral. Lineage: Eukaryota; Fungi; Ascomycota; Sordariomycetes; Glomerellales; Glomerellaceae. RNAcentral also lists the same sequence under 1 other name.
UUAAGCAUAUCAAUAAGCGGAGGAAAAGAAACCAACAGGGAUUGCCCCAGUAACGGCGAGUGAAGCGGCAACAGCUCAAAUUUGAAAUCUGGCCCCAGGCCCGAGUUGUAAUUUGCAGAGGAUGCUUUUGGCGCGGUGCCUUCCGAGUUCCCUGGAACGGGACGCCAUAGAGGGUGAGAGCCCCGUACGGUUGGACACCAAGCCUUUGUAAAGCUCCUUCGACGAGUCGAGUAGUUUGGGAAUGCUGCUCUAAAUGGGAGGUACAUUUCUUCUAAAGCUAAAUAUUGGCCAGAGACCGAUAGCGCACAAGUAGAGUGAUCGAAAGAUGAAAAGCACUUUGAAAAGAGGGUUAAACAGCACGUGAAAUUGUUAAAAGGGAAGCGCUUGUGACCAGACUUGCGUCCGGUGAAUCACCCAGCUCUCGCGGCUGGGGCACUUCGCCGGCACAGGCCAGCAUCAGCUUGCCGUCGGGGACAAAAGCUUCAGGAACGUGGCUCCUCUCGGGGAGUGUUAUAGCCUGUUGCAUAAUACCCUUCGGCGGGCUGAGGUACGCGCUCCGCAAGGAUGCUGGCGUAAUGGUCAUCAGCGACCCGUCUUGAAACACGGACCAAGGAGUCAACCUUAUGUGCGAGUGUUUGGGUGUUAAACCCCUACGCGUAAUGAAAGUGAACGCAGGUGAGAGCUUCGGCGCAUCAUCGACCGAUCCUGAUGUUCUCGGAUGGAUUUGAGUAAGAGCAUAUAGGGUUGGACCCGAAAGAAGGUGAACUAUGCGUGUGUAGGGUGAAGCCAGAGGAAACUCUGGUGGAGGCUCGCAGCGGUUCUGACGUGCAAAUCGAUCGUCAAACAUGCGCAUGGGGGCGAAAGACUAAUCGAACCUUCUAGUAGCUGGUUUCCGCCGAAGU